Long non-coding RNA from Rhinopithecus roxellana (golden snub-nosed monkey), 591 nucleotides. RefSeq lists it as uncharacterized. The record is from RefSeq and is a predicted model, not a curated record. Lineage: Eukaryota; Metazoa; Chordata; Mammalia; Primates; Cercopithecidae. The transcript is spliced from 2 exons.
CUGGAGCAUUUCCUGACUAAGCUGCCUCUCAACUAUCUCUUCUUCUUUGCAGUAUUUAUAUGACUUUUUGGUUCUAUUAUUUGACAUUGAGAACUGCAGAAUCGCUGUUGCAGGAAUAUGCUGGAACUGGAUCUUGUCAAGUGUUAAACAUUCAAGAAUUCUGCAAAGAACUCUGGAACCAGUGAUAGCUUGAAACCAGCCAUGUGAGGAGUAUUUGCACCAUGGCUAUAGACAGACACUGCAGAUCAGGUGUCUGUGCUUGCCGGUAUGCCUCUGUCCCCCUUCUGCCCUGCUUCAGCACCAGUGGCAGAUGCACCACAAUUCGGGUGAAACCUGGUUUAUCCCCAAGAAGUCGUCACAGUUGUUCUGUUGGUCUCUGCUUAAUACCACACACAUAAAACUUAGGCCAGAGGACUUGGGAGAGUGAAUGAGCGAAACAAGAAAGAAUGGAAGAAAAAACAUAAAAGUAAAGUAAGGCACGAGAGAAUUGUAUAAACUGGGGUGGGAAGGAUAAAAUUUAAACCUUUUCUGAGAAAAGAUAUAAAAGUAAAGUGAAGCAGGAGAGAAUUGUCUAAACUGGUGUGGAGAAGA